UACAUCUUUCCACUAUAAAGCUUUAAUCCCCCUUUGCCCUUUUCCUUUCAUCUUCAACCCUUUUCCUCUUAUAUUCCUUUUCCUUUCGGCUGUUAAAGCUCCUCCAUGGAUGCAAGCUUGUUGCCUUCUAAUGGCUCAUCAUCUUCCUCUAGGGUUUCUAACCCACAUGGGCUUUGUUCCUCCUGAUCUCAACUGGGUUUUUUCUCUUCUUUUCUGGGGGGUGGAAUGGUUUCAUUGUUGGAUCUUGCUUAGAUUGAUGGGAUCUUUUAGAACAUGUUGUGAACAUGUCUUUUUGUAGUGUUGGGGUGUACGAUGUUGCUUUGUAGUACAGCCAUUUUCAUGUUCUUGAAGCUUUGCUAAUGGAUCCCUUUGUUGUUAAUAAGCAAUUAUUCAGAUCCUUUAGCUUUUGGCUAUUGAGCAUUGAUGAAUAGUAAUGACAAUGAUGAACUAUAAACUAUCUUAUUUUCUCU
This is a long non-coding RNA of Cucurbita moschata (crookneck pumpkin), 470 nucleotides long. RefSeq lists it as uncharacterized. The transcript has 2 exons. The record is from RefSeq and is a predicted model, not a curated record. NCBI's taxonomy places the organism in Eukaryota, Viridiplantae, Streptophyta, Magnoliopsida, Cucurbitales, Cucurbitaceae.